UACGGGGGGGGCAAGCGUUGUUCGGAAUUACUGGGCGUAAAGGGCUCGUAGGCGGCCAACUAAGUCGGACGUGAAAUCCCCAGGCUCAACCUGGGAACUGCGUCCGAUACUGGAUGGCUUGAAUUCGGGAGAGGGAUGCAGAAUUCCAGGUGUAGCGGUGAAAUGCGUAGAUAUCUGGAGGAAUACCGGUGGCGAAGGCGGCAUCCUGGACCGACAUUGACGCUGAACGGCGAAAGCUAGGGGAGCAAACGGG
This 253-nucleotide ribosomal RNA is filed under the name uncultured bacterium. RNAcentral's name for it is "partial 16S ribosomal RNA". It matches the Rfam family "Bacterial small subunit ribosomal RNA", at positions 524 to 776 of the family's 1533-position model. The record is from RNAcentral.